This 712-nucleotide long non-coding RNA is filed under the name Apteryx haastii (Great spotted kiwi). Its description in RNAcentral is "lncRNA (ENSAHAG00000017935.1)". The record is from RNAcentral. Lineage: Eukaryota; Metazoa; Chordata; Aves; Apterygiformes; Apterygidae.
AGGAAGAAUCAAAGUUGAAAAACGAAGCUGGCCCCCAGGGCCGAGGGCAUCGAGGACAAAAAGAAUAGUUGGUAGAUCGAAAUUAAAGUUAGUUGGCGCCUCGUUCUUGGCCUGGUGCCGCACUGUGAAGAGGUCAAUUCUUGAUUCUAUAGCAUCUUUUUUUGGCAUCAUACCAUACUUCUGGGCAGACGGGAACGGCUCCACUGGCUCAGGCCCCACGUCCUGCCUCUUCCUGCUGAGUGGGUAGAGGAGAGGCACCUCCAGCCUCAGAGAGCYGAAACUGAGCUGCUGCAGUGUCCGAACCUGGGAGAAGGGAGGAGCAGAAUUUCUGCUGUGGGUACCGGGGUGGAGAGGGGGUGAGUAGGAGGCAUAUCUCUGUGUGUAUGUGAUCCUGCAAAAUGUUGAAAUACUGUUAACAGCAGAUCACCAGUGGGAGUGUCUCGGAACAGAUCUGGGCCUGCUAGCUGCUGAAAUGGAGCCUCAUUGGUUUAAUGAGUUGUGUAUCUUAUUGGAAGCAGUAAUCCAGACCUCUCUUUCUGUCUCUGCAGCUGAUUUGGGCUUAAAUCAAAUGCUGUGGCUCACAUGAAUGAAAAUAGAAGUAAUGCAUUAGCAGUAUUAGGGAGCUAAUGUUCAAACAGUGCUUUGAAGAUAAAAUAUAUACUGCUAAAUAUUCAUAGAAGAAAGGGCUAAUAGGGGCCUGAAGAGGUCAUCU